GAUCAUGGCUCAGGAUGAACGCUGGCGGCGUGCCUAACACAUGCAAGUCGAACGGACUUACAUUGAAGCCUAGCGAUAUGUAAGUUAGUGGCGGACGGGUGAGUAACGCGUGGGUAACCUGCCUUGUACUGGGGGACAACAGUUGGAAACGACUGCUAAUACCGCAUAAGCGCGCAGCUUCGCAUGAAGCAGUGUAGAAAAACCUCCGGUGGUACAAGAUGGACCCGCGUCUGAUUAG
This 238-nucleotide ribosomal RNA is filed under the name uncultured bacterium. Its description in RNAcentral is "partial 16S ribosomal RNA". It matches the Rfam family "Bacterial small subunit ribosomal RNA", at positions 15 to 244 of the family's 1533-position model. The record is from RNAcentral.